This is a non-coding RNA of Trichonephila clavipes, 73 nucleotides long. The record is from the annotation of a GenBank genome assembly. Lineage: Eukaryota; Metazoa; Arthropoda; Arachnida; Araneae; Nephilidae.
GUCCCUGUAACAUGAGGCAUAACGCGUUGGACUUACAAUCCAACGGUCGUGGGUUCCAAUUCCACCUGGAAUG